RNAcentral lists this ribosomal RNA (253 nucleotides) under uncultured bacterium. RNAcentral describes it as "partial 16S ribosomal RNA". It matches the Rfam family "Bacterial small subunit ribosomal RNA", at positions 524 to 776 of the family's 1533-position model. The record is from RNAcentral.
UACGAAGGGGGCUAGCGUUGUUCGGAAUUACUGGGCGUAAAGCGCACGUAGGCGGAUACUUAAGUCAGGGGUGAAAUCCCGGGGCUCAACCCCGGAACUGCCUUUGAUACUGGGUAUCUCGAGUCCGGAAGAGGUGAGUGGAAUUCCGAGUGUAGAGGUGAAAUGCGCAGAUAUCGGGAGGAACACCAGUAGCGAAGGCGACACUCUGGGCCGGUACUGACGCUGAGGAGCGAAAGCGUGGGGAGCAAACAGG